RNAcentral lists this ribosomal RNA (1097 nucleotides) under uncultured bacterium. RNAcentral's name for it is "bacterial SSU rRNA". It matches the Rfam family "Bacterial small subunit ribosomal RNA", at positions 8 to 1148 of the family's 1533-position model. The record is from RNAcentral.
AGAGUUUGAUCCUGGCUCAGAACGAACGCUGGCGGCAGGCCUAACACAUGCAAGUCGAGCGAGACCUUCGGGUCUAGCGGCGGACGGGUUAGUAACGCGUGGGAACGUGCCCUUCUCUGCGGAAUAGCCACUGGAAACGGUGAGUAAUACCGCAUACGCCCUUCGGGGGAAAGAUUUAUCGGAGAAGGAUCGGCCCGCGUUAGAUUAGAUAGUUGGUGGGGUAAUGGCCUACCAAGUCUACGAUCUAUAGCUGGUUUUAGAGGAUGAUCAGCAACACUGGGACUGAGACACGGCCCAGACUCCUACGGGAGGCAGCAGUGGGGAAUCUUAGACAAUGGGCGCAAGCCUGAUCUAGCCAUGCCGCGUGUGUGAUGAAGGUCUUAGGAUCGUAAAGCACUUUCGCCAGGGAUGAUAAUGACAGUACCUGGUAAAGAAACCCCGGCUAACUCCGUGCCAGCAGCCGCGGUAAUACGGAGGGGGUUAGCGUUGUUCGGAAUUACUGGGCGUAAAGCGUACGUAGGCGGAUCAGAAAGUUGGGGGUGAAAUCCCGGGGCUCAACCCCGGAACUGCCUCCAAAACUCCUGGUCUUGAGUUCGAGAGAGGUGAGUGGAAUUCCAAGUGUAGAGGUGAAAUUCGUAGAUAUUUGGAGGAACACCAGUGGCGAAGGCGGCUCACUGGCUCGAUACUGACGCUGAGGUACGAAAGUGUGGGGAGCAAACAGGAUUAGAUACCCUGGUAGUCCACGCCGUAAACGAUGUCGACCAGCCGUUGGGUGCCUAGAGCACUUUGUGGCGAAGUUAACGCGAUAAGUCGACCGCCUGGGGAGUACGGCCGCAAGGUUAAAACUCAAAUGAAUUGACGGGGGCCCGCACAAGCGGUGGAGCAUGUGGUUUAAUUCGAUGCAACGCGAAGAACCUUACCUACCCUUGACAUCUACAGAAGCCGGAAGAGAUUCGGGUGUGCCUUCGGGAACUGUAGACAGGUGCUGCAUGGCCUGUCGUCAGCUCGUGUUGUGAAUUGUUGGUUAAGUCCCGUUACGAGCGCAACCCUUGUCCUUAUUUGCCAGCACCGUAAUGGUGGGGAACUUCUUAGGGAGA